Molecule: ribosomal RNA, 493 nt
Filed under: uncultured bacterium
Lineage: Bacteria
Description: partial 16S ribosomal RNA
Rfam family: Bacterial small subunit ribosomal RNA
Source: RNAcentral
AUUGAACGCUGGCGGCAUGCUUUGCACAUGCAAGUCGAACGGUAACAGGUUAAGCUGACGAGUGGCGAACGGGUGAGUAAUGCAUCGGAACGUGCCCGAUCGUGGGGGAUAACGCAGCGAAAGCCGCGCUAAUACCGCAUACGAUCUGAGGAUGAAAGCGGGGGACCGUAAGGCCUCGCGCGAUCGGAGCGGCCGAUGUCAGAUUAGGUAGUUGGUGGGGUAAAGGCUCACCAAGCCGACGAUCUGUAGCUGGUCUGAGAGGACGACCAGCCACACUGGGACUGAGACACGGCCCAGACUCCUACGGGAGGCAGCAGUGGGGAAUUUUGGACAAUGGGCGCAAGCCUGAUCCAGCAAUGCCGCGUGCAGGAAGAAGGCCUUCGGGUUGUAAACUGCUUUUGUACGGAGCGAAAAGGCUCUCUCUAAUACAGGGGGCUCAUGACGGUACCGUAAGAAUAAGCACCGGCUAACUACGUGCCAGCCGCCGCCGUAA